AUUGAACGCUGGCGGCAUGCCUCACACAUGCAAGUCGAACGGCAGCACGGGAGCUUGCUCCUGGUGGCGAGUGGCGAACGGGGUGAGUAAUACAUCGGAACGUACCCCUGAAGUGGGGGAUAACGUAGCGAAAGUUACGCUAAUACCGCAUAUUCUGUGAGCAGGAAAGAGGGGGAUCGCAAGACCUCUUGCUUUAGGAGCGGCCGAUGUCGGAUUAGCUAGUUGGUGAGGUAAAGGCUCACCAAGGCGACGAUCCGUAGCGGGUCUGAGAGGAUGAUCCGCCACACUGGGACUGAGACACGGCCCAGACUCCUACGGGAGGCAGCAGUGGGGAAUUUUGGACAAUGGGCGCAAGCCUGAUCCAGCCAUGCCGCGUGAGUGAAGAAGGCCUCGGUUGUAAAGG
RNAcentral lists this ribosomal RNA (403 nucleotides) under uncultured bacterium. RNAcentral's name for it is "bacterial SSU rRNA". It matches the Rfam family "Bacterial small subunit ribosomal RNA", at positions 30 to 431 of the family's 1533-position model. The record is from RNAcentral.